RNAcentral lists this ribosomal RNA (434 nucleotides) under uncultured archaeon. RNAcentral describes it as "bacterial SSU rRNA". It matches the Rfam family "Archaeal small subunit ribosomal RNA", at positions 19 to 458 of the family's 1478-position model. The record is from RNAcentral.
GGACCUGACUGCUAUCGGAUUGAUACUAAGCCAUGCGAGUCAUUGUAGCAAUACAAGGCAUACGGCUCAGUAACGCGUAGUCAACCUAACCUAUGGACGGGAAUAACCUCGGGAAACUGAGAAUAAUGCCCGAUAGAACAUUAUGCCUGGAAUGGUUUAUGUUCCAAAUGAUUUAUCGCCGUAGGAUGGGACUGCGGCCUAUCAGUUUGUUGGUGAGGUAAUGGCCCACCAAGACUAUUACAGGUACGGGCUCUGAGAGGAGUAGCCCGGAGAUGGGUACUGAGACACGGAUCCAGGCCCUAUGGGGCGCAGCAGGCGAGAAAACUUUGCAAUGUGCGAAAGCACGACAAGGUUAAUCCGAGUGGUUUCUGCUAAAGAAACCUUUUGUCAGUCCUAGAAACACUGAUGAAUAAGGGGUGGGCUAGUUCUGGUGU